CUUUGACCAAUGCGGCCCAAAUAAACAAAGUUCGUCCGUAACCUAAUCCUAAUGACGGGAGUUCGUCUCUCCUCUUCUUCGACAUGCCGACACGGCCAUCUUCAUCUUUUGCAGACCGAGCAUGUACUUUGUUGAAAGUGAUGGGAGACGAGCUUUACGGCUGAUCUCCGUGGCAUAAUCUGUUCGUCUUCUUUAGAGUGGAUUACGCCUGAGAAGAGAAAUUCGAAGCGUUUCAUGAUGCAAUCAAUCGUCGUCAGUAGUGAUCAUCUUAAGUGCUUAAUCCCACUUUUACCACGAUUCCUCAUUCCAUGUAUCGACCCUUCCUUCCAGUCGGUCAAUCUCCAUAGUGGCUAGCUUAUCUCUCCUCCUUGAUGACUUCAAUGGUCGCUGUAGCACCACCGCUGUCUGCUCAGAUUUUGGGAUGCCAAGAAUGUGAAUAGAAGCGGAGAGCUUAUGGAGGUCGAAAUCCACUCUUCUUGACGAUCAGCUUAAAGGAGAAGUAUCGAGUAUUAUUAUGAGAGUGGUAGUUCAUAAAGUUUUGCCGUCACGAAAGAUGAAGAAUAUAGAGCUCUCACAUGUAAGACGCCAACAGAAACUAUAAUAGAGGAAGUUUAGUUUGUUUUGAUCCCUGAGGAAGCUAGACAGCUUGAAAAGCAACUCAGACAUACGACUAAGGAGAAGAAUGAAGCUUUGGGAGGCCAAGACUCUGGGAAGGUGUUGUCUUUGAGUUUCUCUUACUGUCUAUAAACCCAAGAUAAGUGUUUACUAUUCCAUGAGUUCUUCUCCAACAAGAUGAAUCUCACUAUGACCAGGUUAGAACUUAGGCAUGGGAUAGCUGCUAUUUCAUCCAAAGGCAAAGAAGUGAGCAAAGCUGAGACUAAAGCUGGGGAAGGAGACGUAAUGUCACUGAAUCCAACGUCAAACGCAUGAUCACCACCUAGACAGUAAUACUGGCAGAAAAGUAUUGUCUGAUAAAUUGAGCUGUCUUUCCCAAUAUUGAGCAGAGCCUCCUCACAAGUUAUUGGCCAAGACGAAGCUGUCAAAGCCAUUACCCGGGCGAUCCGACGUGCAUGUGACCGCACAAUCACAAGUUUCAUUUUCAAUGUUAACGGUUUUUGUUUAAAGUUUUCUAUGUACAUUAUGUUUUAUGUAAUUCUUUCAUGCUGCUUGAUCCUAUAUCUAAAACAUCACACUAAGUGAACAUAUUUGUAAACUAUGCAUUUUGAAAAUGUACUAAUCAUUUCUCAUACUUUUUCUUUUCUUUUUGGUGACAGUUGAAAGUAGUU
Molecule: long non-coding RNA, 1286 nt
Organism: Raphanus sativus (radish)
Lineage: Eukaryota; Viridiplantae; Streptophyta; Magnoliopsida; Brassicales; Brassicaceae
Exons: 4
Source: RefSeq, a predicted model, not a curated record